This 86-nucleotide transfer RNA is filed under the name Streptomyces scabiei 87.22. RNAcentral's name for it is "tRNA-Arg (TCT) (tRNA-Arg-TCT-2-1)". It matches the Rfam family "tRNA", at positions 9 to 71 of the family's 71-position model. Rfam says of the family: Transfer RNA (tRNA) molecules are approximately 80 nucleotides in length. The record is from RNAcentral. Lineage: Bacteria; Bacillati; Actinomycetota; Actinomycetes; Kitasatosporales; Streptomycetaceae.
GGCUCUCGCUGGGUGGUCGACUGAUACAACAGAGCAGGCGCCUUCUAAGCGCUUGGCCGCAGGUUCGAGUCCUGCCGGGGGCGCCA